CGGCGUGAAAAAUUUCCCAAGGCGGAGCGAAAACCUUUCCUGAGCGACUGAGCAUGCCCGGUGGUGAAAGUAUAUUCCAUGCUUGGGGUGAAGACUUCUCUCUCUUGCUGGCCAUGAAAAAGAAAGCACAAAGCUUCAGGACUGUUGGCUGCCAUCUUGGAACUAUGAGGGGAACCAGCCUUAGAAUGAACCCAGAUACUGAGGACAGUAGCACACAGGAAUGGAAACAGCUUGCAUCUGUGAUGCCAUCUUUGAGCUGAUAACCGUACUGCAUCUGGAUCCCCAUUCAGUCUCUGGGUUUACAGUUACAGGAGGACCCAUGAGCUUGUGAGGGUCUCAUGACCCACCCCUCAAGCACAUUCCAACCCCUGCUUGCAGUAGGUCUGCUUCUACUCGAAGGCCAAAGAAAGUCAUGUGCAGAAGACCAAGGUAAGCAGUACGCUUGUCCCAGGAGGGAGUAAAUAUUUUGGAAUGUAUUCUAAUCUCCCCCAAGCCUGUAGGCAUAUGCAUUGAAGUGGAAAGAGAGCCAGACUGAGAAUCGGGAGUCCUGAGCUCUGGGUCCAGAUCUGCCGUUAAUGGCUUGUGUGACCUUGGACACAUUACUAAUCCUUUCCGGAUCUCGAAGGCCUAUUCAGACUUUGGCCGUAAGAAGCUAUAGCUUGAAAAAACAAAUCACUGCCUCUCAAACUCCUAAUCUCCUCUCAGUGUAGUUUAGUCUCUUUACUUAUUCUGAGCUAAAAUACACACAGCUCUAGAGCCCCUUCUCAACUGCUGGGCGAAUGGUCAUGACUCUGUUAAUGAUCAAACUGGAGCACCAUGCAGCAGUCCCGCUGGUCACAUGAAAGCUCAGGAAGAAAUGAAGCCACUGGGAAAAGCCACCGAUGCCAUGACCUUCUGUUCCCAGGGCUGGAGUGCAGGCCGAGCCUCUGCUCAGACAGUCUCCAGCAGAUUCUGUUCUGAGAAAUGAAGCGAGACCGUCAGGCUUUUGUGUGAAUUACGGAGGGAGGAUUCACGACGCGGGAAUCAUCCGGUAUCCUCACGACGUGAUCUCUUAAAUCCCGAGCAUCUCUGGGUGGAGGCUUUGCCAUCGUUAGACGGGAUGACUGCUGACUAGGGAGAGAGCCUUCUAAGAACACCAUGUGAUACAGUAAUAGCUGCUACAGUUAAUUGAGCUAUUACCACGUGUCAGGAGCUCUGCUUGAUCCUUCACACACAUGGUCCCAAUUAUUGGAAAAAGCACCCGCUUUUUUUUUUUUUUUUGUGAACUCACCUCGCAUGUGAGCUCUUAGUUCCCUGACCAGGGAUCGAACCCGCGCCCCCUGCACUGGAAGCUCAGAGUCUUAACUACUGGACCACUAGGGAAGUCCCAAGAGCGCCCACUUUGACUUGGAUACAUAUUAGCUCAAAUUCCGGCCUCAUAAUUUACAAGCUGGGUGACCUUCAAUGUGUAGCAUGGGCACGGUUUUUGCCUCUCACCCUAUCUUUCACCCACAACUUCUCUGCCUACCCACAUUCUAUAGCAUGGAUCAUUCCAGCACGUUGACAUCUCACACUUUGGUAGGAGAGAUAAAUAUGUAAACAGCAAACUAUAUUGAAAAUAAAACUCAUGAACCCUUGGGUGGGUCCAUGCUGCAGGCUGGAAAACUCAAUUUAUCUACAACACUGAGGCUAAAUCUCUCUUAAAAAGAAUUGGAGGUUAUAAAGACUUGUCUCAAAAUUUGUGGUUGCUAUUACUGGGAUACACAAAUGAGGUGAAGGAGGUUAUAAUGUAAUGGAAAGGGCAUUGGGAUAACAAUCAGGAGAGCUGAAUUGGAGUCCUGAUUCUGUUGAUCAAAAUGUGUGAUUUGGGGCAAGGUCACUUUUUGAGUCUUGGUUUCCUCACCGGUAAAGUGGGGAAUGUUAACGCCUGUCCUGCAUUCUGCACAGACUUCUUGCAGAGACCCUAGCAAAUAAAAGCUGUCAAUGAGGACUUCCCUGGUGGCGCAGUGGUUAAGAAUCCUCCUGUCAAUGCAGGGGACAUGGGUUCGAUCCCUGGUCUGGGAAGAUCCCACAUGCUGUGGAGCAACUAAGCUCGUGCGCCACAGCUACUGAGCCUGCACUCUAGAGCCCACGAGCCACAACUACUGAGCCUGCGUGUCACAACUACUGAAGCCCGAGCACCUAGAGCCUGUGCUCUGCAACAAGAGAAGCCACCGCAGUGAGAAGCCUGCACGCUGCGACCAAGAGUAGCCACCGCUCGCCGUAACUAAAGAAAGCCCUCAUGGAGCAAUGAAGACCCAAUACAGCCAAAAAAAAAAAAAGCUGUCACUGUUUAGCAGCUCCAUUUUACAAUUUUACAGAUGGAGAAACUGGGGACAAAAAUAUAAUGGUGGGACAGAAGAAAGACAGGUCUCCUAGUAUUUCUCCAACCUCAUCUUGUACUACUGUUCUCCCCAGUUACUCUGUUCUAAUGAUGUUGGCAUUUGGUCCUUUUCUUGAAUAAACCAAGCUCAUUCCCACCUCACAGCCUUUGCCCUUGCUGUUUCCUCUCCCUAGAGUGUUCUUCUCCUAGAUCUUCAUGUUCUUCAAGAAAGGUUUGGCCCCCUGUCCUUCAGGUCUCAGCUCAGACAUC
Molecule: long non-coding RNA, 2611 nt
Organism: Balaenoptera ricei (Rice's whale)
Lineage: Eukaryota; Metazoa; Chordata; Mammalia; Artiodactyla; Balaenopteridae
Exons: 4
Source: RefSeq, a predicted model, not a curated record